UGACAGUUAUGUUAUCUAGUCCAUUGUUAAAUCAUGUCUUUCAAGUUUUCUUCAUUAAUGUUUACUGAUACACCUAUUUUUUUUCAUAGUUAUUUACGAUGAUUCUUAUCUUUCUUAACCAACCAUAUCGAAUCACCCAACCAAUUUUCGGUUUGCAUAGGGAAAUUGAAUGUAAGAUUGCGAUUAGUACUACAAGUUAUAAAUUUAUUAUGUUGUGAAAUAAAGGACCAAAGAGUUU
This 238-nucleotide long non-coding RNA is filed under the name Carica papaya (papaya). RNAcentral's name for it is "long non-coding RNA (CPAP_LNC004685)". Lineage: Eukaryota; Viridiplantae; Streptophyta; Magnoliopsida; Brassicales; Caricaceae. The record is from RNAcentral.